This 233-nucleotide ribosomal RNA is filed under the name uncultured bacterium. Its description in RNAcentral is "partial 16S ribosomal RNA". It matches the Rfam family "Bacterial small subunit ribosomal RNA", at positions 103 to 339 of the family's 1533-position model. The record is from RNAcentral.
CGGGUGAGUAACGCGUAGGAAUCUACCUGGUAGUGGGGGAUAGCUCGGGGAAACUCGAAUUAAUACCGCAUACGACCUAAGGGUGAAAGUGGGGGAUCUUCGGACCUCACGCUAUCAGAGGAGCCUGCGUUGGAUUAGCUAGUUGGUGGGGUAAAGGCCCACCAAGGCGACGAUCCAUAGCUGGUCUGAGAGGAUGAUCAGCCACACUGGAACUGAGACACGGUCCAGACUCC